CACACUUAUCUACAAACAGUCUUCAGAGAGGUGAUCGGAUGGAAGAUAUUAACAUGAUUCUGGAGUCUGCUAGGAGCUGCUCUGACUGGUGGCUACUGAGAUACCAGUGACGGGAAGGUGCUACAUCGUUAACAACAGUGCCUUUCAAAAAUGAUGAACUAUAAUCUACUGAAAACACAAGGACAAACCCUACUGUGAAGCAGUGGAGACUGGAGUCCUGCAUUUGCUGAACUUUCUUUUUAUGUGUUGGAUUCUGAUUUUAUAUUCAUUUCCAUUCAUGUGGACUCUGAAGAGUUAAACUCACUAAGGACACUUGAAGAAGUCACGUCCAGGGAUCACUGUCAUCACAGAUGGAGAAAAGGCCAAUGUCUUUCCAUGCUGCCUCACCAGAAAAGGACUGAGUUGGUACAGACCUUCAUUCCAGCUUAAUGUCCAUGACCUCAUCACACUCCAGGCCCAGGCUUGAGCUACAUGUUCUAGAAAGCCCUUAACUUCUCUAGGUCUCAAGUCUAAUCUCUGCAUCUGCGCCAGGUUCCCUGAGACUACUCUAAAGCUUGAUGAUUCACUAGGAUUCACAGGACUCAGAAAAGCUUACUUUUCUGAAUUAGAUGUACUGUUCUGAUAUAUUACAGCAAAAGGAUAUGAGUUCAAAUCAGAAUAAAAUAAAAGGUACAUGGGGCAGAGUCCAGGAGAAACCA
This 698-nucleotide long non-coding RNA is filed under the name Homo sapiens (human). RNAcentral describes it as "non-protein coding lnc-PAXIP1-3:5". The record is from RNAcentral. Lineage: Eukaryota; Metazoa; Chordata; Mammalia; Primates; Hominidae.